Molecule: ribosomal RNA, 106 nt
Filed under: Verrucomicrobiota bacterium
Lineage: Bacteria; Pseudomonadati; Verrucomicrobiota
Description: Verrucomicrobia bacterium partial 16S ribosomal RNA
Rfam family: Bacterial small subunit ribosomal RNA
Source: RNAcentral
CUGAGCUAACCCGCAAGGGAGGCAGGUGCCGAAGGUAUGGCUGGUGAUUGGGAUGAAGUCGUAACAAGGUAGCCGUAGGGGAACCUGCGGCUGGAUCACCUCCUUU